GCUGGGCUGAGUGUUCAGCGGAGUUCGGCGUGGAGCGGUGAUUUUCAGGCUCUGGUGAGGGGUCGUGUCCCGCCCUCCGGCCCCAGCCAGCGAGGGCAUUCAGUACAGGACGAGACCUUGACGUGAGGAGGUUGGGUUGCUGUGGAUGAGCGUAAUUGGCUUCAUUUUUUUGUCAUCAAUUGUCCCAAUGAUCUUGACUCGAGGAGGUUAGGC
This 213-nucleotide unclassified non-coding RNA is filed under the name Hevea brasiliensis (rubber tree). Lineage: Eukaryota; Viridiplantae; Streptophyta; Magnoliopsida; Malpighiales; Euphorbiaceae. The record is from RNAcentral.